AACGCUGGCGGCGUGCCUAACACAUGCAAGUCGAGCGGUAACAGGUGUAGCAAUACAUGCUGACGAGCGGCGGACGGGUGAGUAACGCUUGGGAAUCUGCCUAUUAGUGGGGGAUAACUCGGGGAAACUCGAGCUAAUACCGCAUACGCACUACGGUGGAAAGCUGGGGACCGCAAGGCCUGGCGCUAAUAGAUGAGCCCAAGUCGGAUUAGCUAGUUGGUAGGGUAAUGGCCUACCAAGGCGACGAUCCGUAACUGGUCUGAGAGGACGACCAGUCACACCGGAACUGAGACACGGUCCGGACUCCUACGGGAGGCAGCAGUGGGGAAUAUUGGACAAUGGGCGAAAGCCUGAUCCAGCGACGCCGCGUGGGUGAAGAAGGCCUGCGGGUUGUAAAGCCCUUUCAGUGGGGAAGAAAAGCCUCGAGUGAAUACCUCGGGGUCUUGACGUAACCCAUAGAAGAAGCACCGGCUAACUCUGUGCCAGCAGCCGCGGUAAUACAGAGGGUGCGAGCGUUAAUCGGAAUUACUGGGCGUAAAGCGCGCGUAGGCGGCUUUGCAAGUCGGAUGUGAAAUCCCCGGGCUCAACCUGGGAACUGCAUUCGAGACUGCAUUGCUAGAGUAUGGGAGAGGGAAGUGGAAUUUCAGGUGUAGCGGUGAAAUGCGUAGAUAUCUGAAGGAACAUCAGUGGCGAAAGCGACUUCCUGGACCAAUACUGACGCUCAUGUGCGAAAGCGUGGGGAGCAAACAGGAUUAGAUACCCUGGUAGUCCACGCCAUAAACGAUGAGAACUGGAUGUCGGGAGGGUUCUGCCUCUCGGUGUCGUAGCUAACGCGUUAAGUUCUCCGCCUGGGGAGUACG
This 860-nucleotide ribosomal RNA is filed under the name uncultured bacterium. RNAcentral's name for it is "bacterial SSU rRNA". It matches the Rfam family "Bacterial small subunit ribosomal RNA", at positions 32 to 884 of the family's 1533-position model. The record is from RNAcentral.